RNAcentral lists this long non-coding RNA (204 nucleotides) under Elaeis guineensis (African oil palm). RNAcentral describes it as "long non-coding RNA (EGUI_LNC017191)". Lineage: Eukaryota; Viridiplantae; Streptophyta; Magnoliopsida; Arecales; Arecaceae. The record is from RNAcentral.
UGAUGUUGGUGCAAGGUUCUCAAGCUGCUCCACCAAUCGACCCAUCUAUGUCAGGAGGGAAGUGAUGUUGGACCAUUGUGAAACACCUAGAUCCCUGAUCUUUGAUUGGAUCUAAGCCACUUCAGUCUCAGCCUAGCAGCCUCCCGAGCAAGAUCAGAUAGAUCCACAAGCUCAUCCCUCCUCACCGGUUGCUCUAGGGUCACC